UACAGAGGUCCCAAGCGUUGUUCGGAUUCACUGGGCGUAAAGGGUGCGUAGGUGGUGAGGUAAGUCGGAUGUGAAAUCUUCAGGCUCAACCUGGAAAUGGCAUCGGAAACUACCUUGCUCGAGGUUUGGAGGGGGGACUGGAAUACUUGGUGUAGCAGUGAAAUGCGUAGAUAUCAAGUGGAACACCAGUGGCGAAGGCGAGUCCCUGGACAAAACCUGACACUGAGGCACGAAAGCUAGGGGAGCAAACAGG
RNAcentral lists this ribosomal RNA (253 nucleotides) under uncultured bacterium. Its description in RNAcentral is "partial 16S ribosomal RNA". It matches the Rfam family "Bacterial small subunit ribosomal RNA", at positions 524 to 776 of the family's 1533-position model. The record is from RNAcentral.